GACGAACGCUGGCGGCGUGCUUAACACAUGCAAGUCGAACGGAAAGGCCCUGCUUUUGUGGGGUGCUCGAGUGGCGAACGGGUGAGUAACACGUGAGUAACCUGCCCUUGACUUUGGGAUAACUUCAGGAAACUGGGGCUAAUACCGGAUAGGAGCUCCUGCUGCAUGGUGGGGGUUGGAAAGUUUCGGCGGUUGGGGAUGGACUCGCGGCUUAUCAGCUUGUUGGUGGGGUAAUGGCUUACCAAGGCUUUGACGGGUAGCCGGCCUGAGAGGGUGACCGGCCACAAUGGGACUGAGAUACGGCCCAGACUCCUACGGGAGGCAGCAGGGGGGAAUAUUGCACAAUGGGCGGAAGCCUGAUGCAGCAACGCCGCGUGCGGGAUGACGGCCUUCGGGUUGUAAACCGCUUUCGCCUGUGACGAAGCGUGAGUGACGGUAAUGGGUAAAGAAGCACCGGCUAACUACGUG
Molecule: ribosomal RNA, 468 nt
Filed under: uncultured bacterium
Lineage: Bacteria
Description: partial 16S ribosomal RNA
Rfam family: Bacterial small subunit ribosomal RNA
Source: RNAcentral